Molecule: transfer RNA, 71 nt
Filed under: Candidatus Amesiibacteriota bacterium
Lineage: Bacteria; Candidatus Amesiibacteriota
Description: Candidatus Amesbacteria bacterium tRNA-Ala
Rfam family: tRNA
About the family: Transfer RNA (tRNA) molecules are approximately 80 nucleotides in length. Their secondary structure includes four short double-helical elements and three loops (D, anti-codon, and T loops).
Source: RNAcentral
GGGCCAUUAGCACAGUGGUAAUGCAUCCCGCUCGCAGCGGGAAAACGGGAGUCCGAUUCUCCCAUGGUCCA